AGUGAACGCUGGCGGUAGGCCUAACACAUGCAAGUCGAACGGCAGCACAGUAAGAGCUUGCUCUUACGGGUGGCGAGUGGCGGACGGGUGAGGAAUACAUCGGAAUCUACUUUUUCGUGGGGGAUAACGUAGGGAAACUUGCGCUAAUACCGCAUACGACCUACGGGUGAAAGCAGGGGAUCUUCGGACCUUGCGCGAUUGAAUGAGCCGAUGUCGGAUUAGCUAGUUGGCGGGGUAAAGGCCCACCAAGGCGACGAUCCGUAGCUGGUCUGAGAGGAUGAUCAGCCACACUGGAACUGAGACACGGUCCAGACUCCUACGGGGGGCAGCAGUGGGGAAUAUUGGACAAUGGGCGCAAGCCUGAUCCAGCCAUACCGCGUGGGUGAAGAAGGCCUUCGGGUUGUAAAGCCCUUUUGUUGGGAAAGAAAAGCAGCAGGUUAAUACCCCGCUGUUCUGACGGUACCCAAAGAAUAAGCACCGGCUAACUUCGUG
Molecule: ribosomal RNA, 492 nt
Filed under: uncultured bacterium
Lineage: Bacteria
Description: partial 16S ribosomal RNA
Rfam family: Bacterial small subunit ribosomal RNA
Source: RNAcentral